Non-coding RNA from Misgurnus anguillicaudatus (oriental weatherfish), 2147 nucleotides. The record is from RefSeq and is a predicted model, not a curated record. NCBI's taxonomy places the organism in Eukaryota, Metazoa, Chordata, Actinopteri, Cypriniformes, Cobitidae.
GUUACUGGCGGGUAAGCGAUGGCUCUUAAUAAUUGACUAGAUAACUAGUCAGUGGCGGGUAAAGAGUUAAUGUUUGUAACUUCUGAAGUCAUUUCUGUUGUCAAGGUCACCCUGACACGACGCUUUAAUAUUGUGACAUCAUAAAGCCCACGCUCAAGUCAUCGCGUGUGGAGCAGCACGAGUCGUUCAUGCGUCACAUCUGAAGUUCGCGCCUCCUGACAGCAGCUGGAUUUAUCCUCCAAAAGUUCUAGAUGAGAGUUGAGUUGCCGUGACAACCGUGACGCAUCAUCAGUCAACAAAGAGCAACACCAAACUCUCAUCUCUCUCAACUCUUCUCUUUUAUUGUAAAAGUUCUAGAUGAGAGUUGAGUUGCCGUGACAACCGUGACGCAUCAUCAGUCAACAAAGAGCAACACCAAACUCUCAUCUCUCUCAACUCUUCUCUUUUAUUGUAAAAGGAGGAGACGGGAAUACCCGGAGUAAACCCACGCUGACACCGGGAGAACAUGCAAACCCCACACAGAAAGCCCACCUGACCUAACCGGUGCUCGAACCGCUGACCUUUUUGCUGCCCUGUUUGACUCUCAUUAUAAAGACAAAAUCAACGCAUUUCAGAGAAGCAUGACUUAAGGAGCAACACGGUAUGUGGAAUCUAUCUAUCUAUCUAUCUAUCUAUCUAUCUAUCUAUCUAUCUAUCUAUCUAUCUAUCUAUCUAUCUAUCUAUCUAUCUAUCUAUCUAUCUAUCUAUCUAUCUAUCUAUCUAUCUAUCUAUCUAUCUAUCUAUCUAUCUAUCUAUCUAUCUAUCUAUCUAUCUAGUACUAACACUAGCGGUCAGUCUUAAGUGUCUAACACUUCUUCUUCUCUACAAUUCUUUACUAUGAUUAUAAUCCAGCCUGAUAAGUCCCAUUCUAAGUGAUUCGUUUAUGAUUUAUCUGGUGCAGUGUCGAUAAGCCCCUGUGUUUCUCUGUAACCUAACACUUGUUAGAUGAAUCAAAGGCUUCGCUAUGGUGAGUUCUCCACUAGGCUUGUACCGCUGAACUGACUCGAGUCUGUUCAGUCGGGGUGCUGUGGUAGUCCACUCUUUCUGCACCUUAGGCAGCAAUAUGCAGUGUGGCCUCUGCCAUCGGGCACUCCAAUCGCUAACCGUGCCAACUGACAUAAGACCCUAGUGGCUGUGCCAGUUGGUGGGUGACACUUUUGAGUGCCGACCGGUGUGUUAGAGGCGUGACUGUUGAGCAGUCGAGGUGGGGAGGGCAGACGGCCCAGCGCUCUUGGCUGCGUGCUCAGGGAAGCGCCUUGUCUGUGGGUUCCACCUGGGUAGCCUUAAAUAGUCAACAAGUGUAGUGAAAGAGAUGCACUUUUCUCCCCUUUGUAGCCACUAGAGGCACCAGAUGUAAGGUAGCAUUUCCUAUCCUUCAAAGGUCUAUCUAUCUAUCUAUCUAUCUAUCUAUCUAUCUAUCUAUCUAUCUAUCUAUCUAUCUAUCUAUCUAUCUAUCUAUCUAUCUAUCUAUCUAUCUCUAGCACGACUAACAUGCAGAUUAAAGCAAUGCACAAAAAAGAUGCUAGAGGCUCGACCGCGGCUCUGCCGCGGUUAGUCGCUAGCACGACUAACAUGCAGAUUAAAGCAAUGCACAAAAAAGAUGCUAGAGGCUAACAUGCAGAAUAAAGCAAUACACAAAAAAGAUGCUAGAGGCUCGGCCGCGGUGGUCCGGUUUGGCGCCGAUGGUGAUACAAGAGUCUCUAGCACAAAAAAAGAUGCUAGAGGCUUGACCGCGGCUCUGCCGCGGUUAGUCGCUAGCACGACUAACAUGCAGAUUAGAGUAAUGCACAAAAAAGAUGCUAGAGGCUAACAUGCAGAAUAAAGCAAUACACAAAAAAGAUGCUAGAGGCUCGGCCGCGGUGGUCCGGUUUGGCGCCGAUGGUGAUACAAGAGUCUCUAGCACAAAAAAGAUGCUAGAGGCUUGACCGCGGCUCUGCCGCGGUUAGUCGCUAGCACGACUAACAUGCAGAUUAGAGUAAUGCACAAAAAAGAUGCUAGAGGCUAACAUGCAGAAUAAAGCAAUACACAAAAAAGAUGCUAGAGGCUCGGCCGCGGUGGUCCGGUUUGGCGCCGAUGGUGAUACAAGAGUCUCUAGCACAAUAAAAGAU